GAGAUUAUCAUGAACCUUCGGGGGACGAUAACGGCGUCGAGCGGCGGACGGGUGAGUAAUGCCUAGGAAAUUGCCCUGAUGUGGGGGAUAACCAUUGGAAACGAUGGCUAAUACCGCAUAAUGCCUACGGGCCAAAGAGGGGGACCUUCGGGCCUCUCGCGUCAGGAUAUGCCUAGGUGGGAUUAGCUAGUUGGUGAGGUAAGGGCUCACCAAGGCGACGAUCCCUAGCUGGUCUGAGAGGAUGAUCAGCCACACUGGAACUGAGACACGGUCCAGACUCCUACGGGAGGCAGCAGUGGGGAAUAUUGCACAAUGGGCGCAAGCCUGAUGCAGCCAUGCCGCGUGUGUGAAGAAGGCCUUCGGGUUGUAAAGCACUUUCAGUCGUGAGGAAGGUAGUGUAGUUAAUAGCUGCAUUAUUUGACGUUAGCGACAGAAGAAGCACCGGCUAACUCCGUGCCAGCAGCCGCGGUAAUACGGAGGGUGCGAGCGUUAAUCGGAAUUACUGGGCGUAAAGCGCAUGCAGGUGGUUUGUUAAGUCAGAUGUGAAAGCCCGGGGCUCAACCUCGGAAUUGCAUUUGAAACUGGCAGACUAGAGUACUGUAGAGGGGGGUAGAAUUUCAGUGUAGCGGUGAA
RNAcentral lists this ribosomal RNA (633 nucleotides) under Vibrio alginolyticus. Its description in RNAcentral is "bacterial SSU rRNA". It matches the Rfam family "Bacterial small subunit ribosomal RNA", at positions 69 to 685 of the family's 1533-position model. Lineage: Bacteria; Pseudomonadati; Pseudomonadota; Gammaproteobacteria; Vibrionales; Vibrionaceae. The record is from RNAcentral.